UUUUCGUAGGUGAACCUGCGGAAGGAUCAUUACAGAGCUGCGACUCCCUCGGGAGCCAUCUCCACCCCUUGACUACCAAAUAUUGUUGCUUUGGCGGGCCCGUCUUACGACCGCCGGGAGUUUGGAACCACUGAACUUUUCGGCCCGUGCCCGUCAGUAGCCCAUUUACAAAUUCUUGACAAAUUGUGAUGUCUGAGUUAUAGACUUAAUAGUUAAAACUUUCAACAACGGAUCUCUUGGUUCUG
This 245-nucleotide unclassified non-coding RNA is filed under the name plant metagenome. RNAcentral describes it as "partial contains small subunit ribosomal RNA, internal transcribed spacer 1, and 5.8S ribosomal RNA". The record is from RNAcentral.